CCGGAAACGGGUGCUAAUACUGGAUAUUCACUGAUCUUCGCAUGGGGGUUGGUGGAAAGGUUUUUUCUGGUGGGGGAUGGGCUCGCGGCCUAUCAGCUUGUUGGUGGGGUGAUGGCCUACCAAGGCUUUGACGGGUAGCCGGCCUGAGAGGGUGACCGGUCACAUUGGGACUGAGAUACGGCCCAGACUCCUACGGGAGGCAGCAGUGGGGAAUAUUGCACAAUGGGCGAAAGCCUGAUGCAGCGACGCCGCGUGAGGGAUGGAGGCCUUCGGGUUGUAAACCUCUUUCGCUCAUGGUCAAGCCGCAACUUAGGGUUGUGGUGAGGGUAGUGGGUAAAGAAGCGCCGGCUAACUACGUGCCAGCAGCCGCGGUAAUACGUAGGGCGCGAGCGUUGUCCGGAAUUAUUGGGCGUAAAGGGCUUGUAGGCGGUUGGUCGCGUCUGCCGUGAAAUCCUCUGGCUUAACUGGGGGCGUGCGGUGGGUACGGGCUGACUUGAGUGCGGUAGGGGAGACUGGAACUCCUGGUGUAGCGGUGGAAUGCGCAGAUAUCAGGAAGAACACCGGUGGCGAAGGCGGGUCUCUGGGCCGUUACUGACGCUGAGGAGCGAAAGCGUGGGGAGCGAACAGGAUUAGAUACCCUGGUAGUCCACGCUGUAAACGUUGGGCACUAGGUGUGGGGGCCACCCGUGGUUUCUGCGCCGUAGCUAACGCUUUAAGUGCCCCGCCUGGGGAGUACGGCCGCAAGGCUAAAACUCAAAGGAAUUGACGGU
Molecule: ribosomal RNA, 770 nt
Filed under: uncultured bacterium
Lineage: Bacteria
Description: bacterial SSU rRNA
Rfam family: Bacterial small subunit ribosomal RNA
Source: RNAcentral